This 460-nucleotide ribosomal RNA is filed under the name Solobacterium sp. oral taxon A05. RNAcentral's name for it is "bacterial SSU rRNA". It matches the Rfam family "Bacterial small subunit ribosomal RNA", at positions 28 to 483 of the family's 1533-position model. Lineage: Bacteria; Bacillati; Bacillota; Erysipelotrichia; Erysipelotrichales; Erysipelotrichaceae. The record is from RNAcentral.
GAUGAACGCUGGCGGCGUGCCUAAUACAUGCAAGUCGAACGCUGGAGAUCUAGCUUGCUAGAUCGAAGGAGUGGCGAACGGGUGAGUAAUACAUAAGCAACCUACCCACGAAGACUGGGAUAAUCUCUGGAAACGGGGACUAAUACCGGAUAGGUAAUCGGAAGGCAUCUUCUGAUUAUUAAAGGUUAAAAACACUGGUGGAUGGGCUUAUGGCGCAUUAGUUAGUUGGUGAGGUAACGGCCCACCAAGACGAUGAUGCGUAGCCGGCCUGAGAGGGUGAACGGCCACAUUGGGACUGAGACACGGCCCAGACUCCUACGGGAGGCAGCAGUAGGGAAUUUUCGGCAAUGGGGGAAACCCUGACCGAGCAACGCCGCGUGAGUGAUGACGGCCUUCGGGUUGUAAAGCUCUGUUGUAAGGGAAGAACGGUAGAUAGAGAAUAUCUAAGUGACGGACCUAC